RNAcentral lists this small RNA (118 nucleotides) under Salmonella enterica subsp. enterica serovar Heidelberg. Its description in RNAcentral is "partial RtT sRNA". It matches the Rfam family "RtT RNA". Rfam says of the family: This family represents a bacterial cis-regulatory element known as RtT RNA. The exact function of RtT is unknown although it is thought that it may be involved in changing the cellular response in relation to amino acid starvation. Lineage: Bacteria; Pseudomonadati; Pseudomonadota; Gammaproteobacteria; Enterobacterales; Enterobacteriaceae. RNAcentral also lists the same sequence under 6 other names. The record is from RNAcentral.
AUAUCUCUCUGUACGGGAAGGAUGAGAAGCUUCUACCAGGGUUCGAUUCGAGCGCAGCGAGAAAGCGUUGCCGCAGGCAACGACCCGAAGGGCGAAGCGCGCAGCGCUGAGUCAUCCU